This 75-nucleotide transfer RNA is filed under the name Armatimonadota bacterium. RNAcentral's name for it is "Armatimonadetes bacterium (sediment metagenome) tRNA-Asn". It matches the Rfam family "tRNA". From Rfam's summary of the family: Transfer RNA (tRNA) molecules are approximately 80 nucleotides in length. Their secondary structure includes four short double-helical elements and three loops (D, anti-codon, and T loops). RNAcentral also lists the same sequence under 1 other name. The record is from RNAcentral. Lineage: Bacteria; Bacillati; Armatimonadota.
UCCUGGGUAGCUCAACGGUAGAGCGGGUGGCUGUUAACCACCAGGUUGCAGGUUCGAAUCCUGCCCCAGGAGCCA